CGCUGGUAGUCGGCUGGGCGUAGGCGAUACCGCCGGGGCCGCCUGCAGCAGCGCCGGCGGGGCCGAGUAGGUGGACGGGGAGGGGCGGGUGAGAACCGGGGUGGAGAGGCGCCGCGAAGUUCGUCUUGGCCUUGGGGCCGCGGAGAGCUCUGGCGGCGGCGUCGUAGGCGCGGGCGGCGUCCUCGGCGGAGUCAUAGGUGCCGAGCCAGACACGGG
This 216-nucleotide unclassified non-coding RNA is filed under the name Hevea brasiliensis (rubber tree). Lineage: Eukaryota; Viridiplantae; Streptophyta; Magnoliopsida; Malpighiales; Euphorbiaceae. The record is from RNAcentral.